This 481-nucleotide ribosomal RNA is filed under the name Staphylococcus aureus. RNAcentral describes it as "bacterial SSU rRNA". It matches the Rfam family "Bacterial small subunit ribosomal RNA", at positions 1048 to 1529 of the family's 1533-position model. The record is from RNAcentral. Lineage: Bacteria; Bacillati; Bacillota; Bacilli; Caryophanales; Staphylococcaceae.
GUUGUCGUCAGCUCGUGUCGUGAGAUGUUGGGUUAAGUCCCGCAACGAGCGCAACCCUUAAGCUUAGUUGCCAUCAUUAAGUUGGGCACUCUAAGUUGACUGCCGGUGACAAACCGGAGGAAGGUGGGGAUGACGUCAAAUCAUCAUGCCCCUUAUGAUUUGGGCUACACACGUGCUACAAUGGACAAUACAAAGGGCAGCGAAACCGCGAGGUCAAGCAAAUCCCAUAAAGUUGUUCUCAGUUCGGAUUGUAGUCUGCAACUCGACUACAUGAAGCUGGAAUCGCUAGUAAUCGUAGAUCAGCAUGCUACGGUGAAUACGUUCCCGGGUCUUGUACACACCGCCCGUCACACCACGAGAGUUUGUAACACCCGAAGCCGGUGGAGUAACCUUUUAGGAGCUAGCCGUCGAAGGUGGGACAAAUGAUUGGGGUGAAGUCGUAACAAGGUAGCCGUAUCGGAAGGUGCGGCUGGAUCACCUC